GGAGGCAGCAGUGGGGAAUUUUCCGCAAUGGGCGAAAGCCUGACGGAGCAAGACCGCGUGGGGGAAGAAGGCUCUUGGGUUGUAAACCCCUUUUCUCUGGGAAGAAAGUUGUGAAAGCAACCUGACGGUACCAGAGGAAUCAGCAUCGGCUAACUCCGUGCCAGCAGCCGCGGUAAGACGGAGGAUGCAAGCGUUAUCCGGAAUGAUUGGGCGUAAAGCGUCCGCAGGUGGCAGUUCAAGUCUGCUGUCAAAGACCGGGGCUUAACUUCGGAAAGGCAGUGGAAACUGAACAGCUAGAGUAUGGUAGGGGCAAAGGGAAUUCCUGGUGUAGCGGUGAAAUGCGUAGAGAUCAGGAAGAACAUCGGUGGCGAAGGCGCUUUGCUGGACCAUAACUGACACUCAGGGACGAAAGCUAGGGGAGCGAAUGGGAUUAGAUACCCCAGUAGUCCUAGCCGUAAACGAUGGAUACUAGGUGUUGUCUGUAUCGACC
Molecule: ribosomal RNA, 490 nt
Filed under: Phormidium sp.
Lineage: Bacteria; Bacillati; Cyanobacteriota; Cyanophyceae; Oscillatoriales; Oscillatoriaceae
Also listed under: 1 other name
Description: bacterial SSU rRNA
Rfam family: Bacterial small subunit ribosomal RNA
Source: RNAcentral